UGGGCACUCAUCGACGAAAUGUAGGCAUAAAACGACUAUAGAGAAGAUUAGAAAAGUAGAACGUUUACGUCGCUUAUUUAGUUAAUUAUUUCGCGUUGCGUAAUAGACAGCUCUGUCGUGACGAUACAUGCCCGUUGUGAAAAUAGUAACUUAUGCAAUGUAAAACUCAUCGGUAAAUAUUAUCAAUCGACACGGCGAGGAUCGAUAAAUUCAGAGCGGAAACUAACACGUAUAGCAAAUUGUACACGCUUCCUGUCUCCUUAAUUGUAUAUUAUGCAACAAUAUACGAGUCGAAACAACAUCAGGAUCAACGAAUUAAUCUGAGCCUAACGACGAGCUCGUUCAGGAGAGAAAGAGACAAAGACCACGAGACCCUGGAGCCCACAGCUUCGGCCAACGGAUUUAAUGAUUAUUACCGCGCCGAUGAUUGCACCAUAAAACAACAUAUUGCUGUACCUGGAACUCCACGGCGAUGAAACUUCGGCUAGCUCGUAUAACCUCCGGGGCGAUAAUAGACCUGCCCUCGUUUCCGGUUGUUCUCUACGCGCCGCCGUCGAUGCUGCACUCGAAGGUGCAAACGUCACGGUUUUACCACUCGAACAUGCUCGAGAACAAAGUUUAGAAAAUGGUCGAAGGUGUGAGGAGUUUGUAUGAGCCAGACAUCGAAGGAGAAAAACAUGGCUGGAAUACUACAACGACUAUGUUAGUCCAGUUUUCCUGAUUUCACUCGUUCGUUUCGCAUUUGUCAUCAAGUCAGAGCCGUACCUUUUGAAGAACGAUUUUCUAAACGUGGUUC
This 796-nucleotide unclassified non-coding RNA is filed under the name Bombus terrestris (buff-tailed bumblebee). RNAcentral describes it as "misc RNA ENSBTSG00005027374.1". Lineage: Eukaryota; Metazoa; Arthropoda; Insecta; Hymenoptera; Apidae. The record is from RNAcentral.